This 253-nucleotide ribosomal RNA is filed under the name uncultured bacterium. Its description in RNAcentral is "partial 16S ribosomal RNA". It matches the Rfam family "Bacterial small subunit ribosomal RNA", at positions 524 to 776 of the family's 1533-position model. RNAcentral also lists the same sequence under 1 other name. The record is from RNAcentral.
UACGGGGGGGGCUAGCGUUGUUCGGAAUUACUGGGCGUAAAGGGCUCGUAGGUGGCCAACUAAGUCAUGCGUGAAAUCCCUCGGCUUAACCGGGGAACUGCGUCUGAUACUGGAUGGCUUGAAUCCGGGAGAGGGAUGCGGAAUUCCAGGUGUAGCGGUGAAAUGCGUAGAUAUCUGGAGGAACACCGGUGGCGAAGGCGGCAUCCUGGACCGGCAUUGACACUGAGGAGCGAAAGCCAGGGGAGCAAACGGG